CCCAAAUAGCCAAAACGCUCUCUCCUCCACAGAGGCUUUGAGGAGCUACUGUAUUAAAAAUAUAUGCGCUAGACGGUAAUGUUACAGAGUUAUGCGCUAGACGGUAAUAGGGACCUUAAGCAAACAGGACGGCAACGCAACGACAACGGCUGUUCACACAAUGAUAUUCCUGAUCUCGCACAAAAGAAUUGAAUAAUUAAAAGCCCCACGGGAGUUAGAGACGUUGUGUUAGGGCUUUUUACAACAGCAAACCGGGGAUUUUCACGUCUUGUGUACAACGCAAACAUGUCAAGAUGCGACAAGUGAAACUACAAAUUUGCUCAGCAGAAGCGUUUUUAACCAUAAAGCCUUUGUUUUAAUCUGUUCAAACUGAACUCAAUUAAUUUAUACAUGCAGUGGAUAAUACACAACAACUCUUCAUCGCAAUAAUUU
Molecule: non-coding RNA, 432 nt
Organism: Paramuricea clavata
Lineage: Eukaryota; Metazoa; Cnidaria; Anthozoa; Malacalcyonacea; Plexauridae
Source: the annotation of a GenBank genome assembly